RNA transcript from Mercenaria mercenaria, 1727 nucleotides. RefSeq lists it as uncharacterized. NCBI's taxonomy places the organism in Eukaryota, Metazoa, Mollusca, Bivalvia, Venerida, Veneridae. The transcript is spliced from 5 exons. The record is from RefSeq and is a predicted model, not a curated record.
AUAUAGACGUCAGCAACAGUUACUUAAGUAUUUCGCUGUCGUUUGUAAAUUUAAGCCGACGAAUAACCUUCCUUGCCGAUUUCGUUGAAUAUUUCUGUAACCUUUAGAAGACUGAAACAGAUAUUGUGACAUCUUGAUAUAUUUCUAUAACAUUAGACUUGUGUAAAAUGGAAUUAUUUGUAAUUAUAAAAAUGUUGCCGUUAUCAUUAUACAUAUGUUUUCUGUCAAACGGACCUAUUGCGUUUGCUUUCCGGCGAAAGGAUAUGCCUGAAAAUGUCGUCAAAUAUAUAAUAUGUAAGGAACCCUGGUGUGAACAGUACAGCCCCUCGGAAGUAGCAAAGAUGUUUCCAGGCGUGUUUCUCACUAAAGAGAAAUACAUUAUUCAAAAGAGCAUAUACAAUGAAACAAGGGCAAACUAUCUGCGUAAUGAAGGGGUCAAUGACGUAAACAUUAUUAUUGGCCUCGGAGGAGAUGGAGAUUCCUGCUGCGCCACGACCUACAAGGCACAUAUAAACUCAAGCCUGAGCAAUAUCGAGGGAACAGAAAGGUCUAUCGUACACAUGACAAGUGUUGAACCGCCAAUGUAUCAGUUUAUACCACAUGCUUACUGCGAAACUACGGACUGCAUGAAGGGGCCACACUUCUGGACAGUUCAGCGCCUUUAAAACUCACCAUGUUUAAAAAGCUGUUACAUGUCUUCGUUUUGAUGCAUUUGCAACAAUGUACCAGUGUUUAAACUUAACACAACUAGCACAAGUGGGGGAUGUAUUGGAAUAUGCGUCCUUGAGUAUGUGACAUUAACGUUCCUCGUGUACGACCCUAUGGCCAAAAUCAUGAUGUUCGACCAGUUCCUGCUACCCGGAUAUUGCUCUUGUAAACGCGUUCUUCAAUAAGUAUACCUAAAAUAGGAGAGAUAGUAUGCCUUCCGGGUAUUUAUCAGGAAUACUGAAAUGAAGAAUUAAACUUUUGAUGAUGUUUUAUGUGAAUGUUUGCCUUAACUUCAGUUUUGAGAAUGAAUUCGUAUUCAUUUUUUAUAUAGUUAACUUAAAACAUGGUGACUUUAUCGCGCCGUGAUCUGCCAUAUUGUUUAAAUGUUACUGCAUAUAAUUAUAAGUCUUGUUAAAUGACGGAGAUCAGAAGUAUUUUGUAAAUAAAAUUUCAAAAACAAUACAAAAUAUUUUUUUCUUUUCAUCAAAAUGUACCAAAAUGGUUAUAAAAGUGAUCAUAGUUUGUAAUUUUGACAACCAGAGAAUGAGACUGAAAUCACUGUGUAAAUGAAACUGUGGUCAACACUAUGAGAAAGAAACGUACAUCUCAUUUUGAAUGAGGUUGAAGUUAGAUUGGAAGUGCCACUAAAAUCGUUUCGGCAAUAAAACUGCGAUCACAAGUAAGAUCAAUGGAGGAAUGAAACUGAAAUCACUUGCGACUGAACCAAACACGCACAUUUGACAUAAAACAGAAAAGAGCAACAGGGAAGAAUGUAAAGAAUAUAGAAUAAUAGUAGACCAGAACCAGUUUCAAAUCAGGACAAAUACAUUAUAAAUGCUUACACGCUACUUCGAAUCUAAUCGUAUUUAAUGACGUACUCUGGAAUUAAGACUUAGACGAAUACUAAUGUCCAAUUUUUGGACUGAUUAAUCAAAACUACGACAGCAUUAAAAACGUUCUGAUAACUUGUGACGUUACUCUUUUACCAUUGAAGUGCGAAUAUACAAAUGUAUAUCAUU